This 253-nucleotide ribosomal RNA is filed under the name uncultured bacterium. Its description in RNAcentral is "partial 16S ribosomal RNA". It matches the Rfam family "Bacterial small subunit ribosomal RNA", at positions 524 to 776 of the family's 1533-position model. The record is from RNAcentral.
GACAGAGGGUGCAAACGUUGUUCGGAAUUACUGGGCGUAAAGCGCGUGUAGGCUGCUCGGAAAGUCGGAUGUGAAAGCCCUGGGCUCAACCUAGGAAGUGCAUUCGAAACUUCUGAGCUGGAGUGCUGGAGAGGAAGGCGGAAUUCUCGGUGUAGAGGUGAAAUUCGUAGAUAUCGAGAGGAACACCGGUGGCGAAGGCGGCCUUCUGGACAGUAACUGACGCUGAGACGCGAAAGCGAGGGGAGCAAACAGG